AAGCUAUAGCUGAUAGCGAGAGGUGCAACCCACCCUUUAUAGGCCCUGAACCAUACGGGGCACGAACCCAACCCACACCCCCAACCAAGGCCAACCCGAGACAGGUGGCCACCCUUUGGGUGCCAUCAACAUCAAGUUCCUAACGUGCAAAAUUGGCCUAGUGUUGUAAAAGACCAAUGGGGGAAUCGCCUCAUGACUUACUUGCUUCCCAAGACACAAAGAGAAGUACCUACCUACUCCAAUCCGAAUU
This 250-nucleotide long non-coding RNA is filed under the name Capsicum annuum. RNAcentral's name for it is "long non-coding RNA (CANN_LNC002284)". Lineage: Eukaryota; Viridiplantae; Streptophyta; Magnoliopsida; Solanales; Solanaceae. The record is from RNAcentral.